AUGGAAAGUAUAACGGCAUACAAAAACCAACGUGGACAACCCAGAUCUGGAACUCCAGAACAAUCUAACACUCCAGUGUCUGCUAAUGACAUGUGUUCCCUUGCUGAAUGGCCAUCCCAUGCUCGCCGCAACCAAGCUGGUGGACAGAAGAAGAAAGGGCGAGGUGUUCUAAAAGGUUUUAAAGCAUCUAAGAAGCGUUUUGCCAAUGGAUCUACAAAGCUAAAUAUUACAUUCUCUGAAAAAUUGGGUGGUACAGUAGGAAUGAACUAUCGUUCGUUCAAGGAUGACGUGGUAGUCGUAAUGAAAAGAAAGUUACCACUCAUUGGAGUGAGGACGUGGUCGGACAUUCACCCUACCAUUCAUCGACUCAUUAUUGCAGACAUGAUAAGAAACUUGGAAACUGGAGAAGAGCCAGAUUGUAUUGCUCUGUGGGAACUCACCCACACGAACGAUGGAACAUGGUCUAACACAGAUUCCCAGAAAGUUUACGACAAAGCACUUCAAGAGGUUAAAAUCAAAGAAACUGACACUGAAGGUCCACUUUCAAAGAGGAUUAACUUGGAGUGUGCUGAGAGAGAACAACUUGAGGAGAGGUUAAAAGAAGAGUGUGCUGAAAGGGAAAGAUUGUUGCAAGAGGAGCGAACAUCAAGACUGAAAUUUGAAAGAAACAUGAUGGCAAAGUUUAUAGAAUUGAGCCAACAGAUGGGAACCCAACAGGUGCCUACGAAGAGGGUUGACAAAGAAAAUAGUAAUCCAAACUUGCAAAAUAUUCUUUUACAGAGAUCUAGUCCUAAUAAGACUCCAGGUUCAAGGCCAACUGCUAUUUCUUCAAAUGCGCUCAUACAAGCUGCAACAAGGCAUUCUCGAAUGUUUAAAGCAAUGGAUGUCAUG
RNAcentral lists this ribosomal RNA (891 nucleotides) under Triticum aestivum (bread wheat). Its description in RNAcentral is "partial small subunit ribosomal RNA". The record is from RNAcentral. Lineage: Eukaryota; Viridiplantae; Streptophyta; Magnoliopsida; Poales; Poaceae.